UGGCGCAUCGGACGACUCAACCCGACCGAUGCACACAUCCUGAGUGCCUACCAAGUUAUCUCAACACUCUAACCAAACUGACCGUCCUGACCCCAUCAUAGGGGGGUAG
This 109-nucleotide ribosomal RNA is filed under the name Anopheles stephensi (Asian malaria mosquito). Its description in RNAcentral is "partial 5.8S ribosomal RNA". The record is from RNAcentral. Lineage: Eukaryota; Metazoa; Arthropoda; Insecta; Diptera; Culicidae.